This 253-nucleotide ribosomal RNA is filed under the name uncultured bacterium. Its description in RNAcentral is "partial 16S ribosomal RNA". It matches the Rfam family "Bacterial small subunit ribosomal RNA", at positions 524 to 776 of the family's 1533-position model. The record is from RNAcentral.
UACGUAGGGUCCGAGCGUUGUCCGGAAUUAUUGGGCGUAAAGGGCUCGUAGGCGGUUCGUCACGUCGGGAGUGAAAACUCGGGGCUUAACCCCGAGCCUGCUUCCGAUACGGGCAGACUAGAGGCAGGCAGGGGAGAGCGGAACUCCUGGUGUAGCGGUGGAAUGCGCAGAUAUCAGGAAGAACACCGGUGGCGAAGGCGGCUCUCUGGGCCUUGCCUGACGCUGAGGAGCGAAAGCGUGGGUAGCGAACAGG